AUUGAACGCUGGCGGCAUGCUUUACACAUGCAAGUCGGACGGCAGCGGGGUAGUGCUUGCACUACUGCCGGCGAGUGGCGAACGGGCGAGUAAUAUAUUGGAACGUACCGAGUAAUGGGGGAUAACCAAUCGAAAGAUUGGCUAAUACCGCAUACGCUCUGAGGAGGAAAGCAGGGGACCUUCGGGCCUUGCGUUAUUCGAGCGGCCAAUAUCUGAUUAGCUAGUUGGUGGGGUAAGGGCCUACCAAGGCGACGAUCAGUAGCGGGUCUGAGAGGAUGAUCCGCCACACUGGACUGAGACACGGCCCAGACUCCUACGGGAGGCAGCAGUGGGGAAUUUUGGACAAUGGGCGCAAGCCUGAUCCAGCCAUGCCGCGUGUCUGAAGAAGGCCUUCGGGUUGUAAAGGACUUUUGUUAGGGAAGAAAAAGGAGCGGUUAAUACCCGUUUCUGCUGACGGUACCUAAAGAAUAAGCACCGGCUAACUACGUG
This 489-nucleotide ribosomal RNA is filed under the name uncultured bacterium. RNAcentral's name for it is "partial 16S ribosomal RNA". It matches the Rfam family "Bacterial small subunit ribosomal RNA", at positions 30 to 507 of the family's 1533-position model. The record is from RNAcentral.